This 6702-nucleotide long non-coding RNA is filed under the name Oryza brachyantha (malo sina). Its description in RNAcentral is "long non-coding RNA (OBRA_LNC001774)". Lineage: Eukaryota; Viridiplantae; Streptophyta; Magnoliopsida; Poales; Poaceae. The record is from RNAcentral.
GCAUGCCCCUGGCAGGGGAUGUGAUCCGUGUCGGCCUUAUCUCGUUGACCAUUAAUGUCAGAUUUUUUUUGUCUCUCCCUCUAGAGAGAGCCGAUGCUCCGUCUUCAAGGUUCAUCAUCAUCGCCGCUGCUUCGGAGAGGUGAAGAAACCAAAAGUCUUCCCCCUCCUAAUCCUAGCGCUCACGCUCUCACCUGCACCCCUGGUCCGAACUAGGGCCCGCGGCUUCCUGCGAGAGGAGUUUCACUCUCUGAUAUUGGUAACCAUUCUCUAAAAUCCGAUAGAUUAGGAUUAUGAUACAAUGUCAAUAAAAUCUAAGAUUAUACUCUCCCGAUCCUUUUAUUUGACGCAUUGUCUCUUAUGUGUAUGGUUGAUCAUUUAUUUUAUUUAAAAAAUUGCAUAAUUAUAGGCAUGACUUAUAAUCAUUUAUUUUAUGAUUUGAUUUAGUACUAAAAACAAUAUAUGCAUGACUUAUAAUGUUGUAUGCUUUCAUAAAAAUUAAAUAAGAUAAACAAUCAAAUAUAGAUUCACAGCGUCACAUAAGAAAAACUGGACAUGGUAUUAUUGACUUUUCUACUAUUAGUGUUCAAAUGCUGGUGUACGUCUACCGUUCAUCGGCACGAGACAAAACGAAAGCUUUACACUAGCUGAAUGAGAAAAGCUCAUAGAUGGUCUGGCGAACAUGCAUGCUAGCCCCAUCCAAAUCCGGAUUAUUCCCUCUUUCCAAGUUAUAAAGUUUUUUUUGGCAUUGCCUAGAUUUAUAUGAAAGCUAAUGAAUUUAAACACAUAUAAAAAACAUAUACAUUAAUACAUAGAUGGAACUAGAUAAAUUCAGAAAGUCUUAUAAUAUAGAACGGAGAGAGUACAUACCACAUACAUUAUGAUAUAUAUAGGUCGUGUUCGGCUGGAGCGGCUAAGUUAUCUUAACCUCUCGUUUUCCAUGCGUACGCUUUUCAAACGACUAAAUAGUAUAUAUUUAGUAAAAUUUUUUUAUAGAAAGUUAUUUUAAAAAAUCAUAUUAAUAUAUUUUAUAUUUUUAAUUAAUUAUAUACUAAUCUAUUACUGUUAGGUUUUCUAUACCGGAUAAGUACUAACCCUCGCUCUCACCCAAACAAACGCGGGCCAUAGCAACACCAAUAGAGAGAGAGGGGAAGCAUGGUGGUGGGCAGUUUACCAGGGGGCGGGCUGCGAGCAGCGACUCCAUGGCCGGCCACCACCAGAUCGAUCGAUCGAUCGAUCACACGCAACUAGCUGGCCGGGAUAUACUACUGCACGUGUCCUCUCUCCGAACAACGAAUUGCCGCUCUCUUACUUUUAUAAAGGGAGGCUGGCCGUGUCCGUCCGGCGCCGGCGCGGCGAACGAGGAAAACGUGGGAAGUAGCGUCGGUCGUCGCCGUACAAAUGCUGAACUUUCUUUUGCUGUUUUACUACUCCUACGGGGUCGGGUAGGACCCGGGACGCAUGGAGCCACGUUCUUUUAUCGGAUGAAAGAUAGAUAUAAAAGAUUAUUUAUUUUUGUGAUAGCUAUUUCUUGAUAUAAAUAAUGAAAUUUAUUAUUAUAAAAUUAAAAAUCUAUUUUAGAAAUGCGAGAUCGUCAACUUAUAUAUGAAAACUUUUUAUCUUGCAAAUAUAUAUUGUUCAGUAGUUUAGGCCCUGUUUAAUUCCUAAAUUUUUUUCACAAACAUCACAUCGACUAUUUGGACAUCUAAAUGAAGCAUUAAAUAUACAUAAACACUAAAACUAAUUACACACUUAUGGAGGAAUUGUGAGACGAAUCUUUUGAGCCUAAUUAGGACGUGAUUAGCCAUAAGUACUACAAUAACCAAUAUGUGCUAAUGACGGAUUAAUUCGACUCAAAAGGUUCAUCUCGCGGUUUUCAGACGGAAUUUAAAAUUUGUUUUGUAAUUAGACUAUGUUUAAUACUUCGAAUACGUGUCAAAAACUUGAUGUGAUGUUUUUGUAAAAAUAAUUUAAACUAAACAAGGCCUUAGUAACCAUGCGUGCAAAAUCAAAAUCAAGGAAUAAUUGUUCAAAAGAAUGUAGCCCUAGUAGUAUGUACUACCUCCGUUUUGGAUCGGCAUUAGCUGCAGUUGCAGCUAUGACCGCAAGUUAAGCAGUCUUGAUAUAUCCACCAUUCAACUGAAUACCAACGGUUAGAUCAAAUGCAUCUCUUCUUUCCUUGUUAUUUUGUAUAUCAUGAAUAAAAAUAAUGCACUUAGAUAUGAUUAGGAAUAUUUACUUAGAUGGGAACUCUCGACUUAAGCAAAGUAAUAAAUUAUAUUGCUAUGAAAAGACAUAUAGCACAGUAGAUUGCAGCGACUUAAGUAGUAUUUAAGGUCUUGAAUUCAAAUUUUUAUUAUGAACAUGUAGCCUAGAGUUUGUAGUUACCUAGUCCUAAUUUCAAAUAUCCAUACCCACCUUUUUUCUUAAAAAAAAGCUCCAUAUUUCCGGUUAGAUAUAGAUACCGGGUAAAAAAACUAUUUAAUAGAAAAAAGAAAAAAUAAUAAAUCACAGUGCUAGUUUUUUGGGCAAAUAUUCACAUCUAAACAACAAAUUAUACUUUCUAGUUGCAAAACAAUUAAUUCAUGAAAUUUAUAAUAAAUUAAUUUAGGUAGGUAGCUAUAGGAAAACCGAGGGACGAGCAGCUUCUUAGAAUAAAUUAGUUUCAGUUUGCUCAGUAGCUAUAGACCGAGGGACGAGCAGCUUUACAUCCGGCCAUUGGUUACUCAUUCAAUGGUGAGAUGGAUGGACUGCUUAAGUUGCAGUCAAAGCUGCAACUUCACCUGAUCCUGAUCCCUCAGUUUUAUUAAAAAGAAUGCAGCCCUGGUUGUAUUACUUCCGUUUCAUAAUAUAAUUUUUUUAUAUUACCUAAAUUUAUAGGUUUUUAAUAAAUCAACACAUAUAUACAAACAAUAUAUACAAUUACUAUAUGAUAAUAUAAAUUUAAAAAUAGCUAACUAUCUUAUAUAUAAAACGGAAAACGGAUGAAGUAAUAUUAUUCUUAGGUUGUCUUGGAACGUACGUAAGCAUGGGGAUAUAUCGUACGUGAUCGGUCAGUUCACGUGCUUCGAACGAUUCAUGCGUACAUAUACUCAUUGACCUUGUUUUGUUGUUUUCCUGUUAUAUAUUUCUAUAUAUCUAUGCACGCAUAAAACGAAAAGUACAAUAUACACUAAGCCACGUCACCCAAAAAUCUUGACCACUGAUCAUGUUUCGGAGGACUAGAUGAAGGUCUCGAGAUUGAUCAUAUGAAACUGAAAUUAAGCAGUUGGAAAGGAAAAAAAAAAUGUUAGUAGGUGGUAGACUGGUUUUGAUCAAUUCAGUUUUAAUUAGUCUUGCUAUGCUUAUGAUCGUUUUUUUUUUCGAAGUUCCCGGAGUACCUGAAAAAAUUAUUAUUACAGAUCCACACACACACACAUAUAUAUAUAUAUAUAUAUAUUGCAGAGUGAUGGUCAUACGAAAAAAAGUAUAGUAUGAUUAGAUGAGAUAUCAUAUGUCAACCAAAGGAUUAGGGCGAAUUUGAUGUUAAAAACGUAGAUAUACGAAGUUAGUGUCCCUAAAUGGUUGUUUAAGUUAUGUAGUGAGGAUGACAUGUGGCAUAAUUUACCUAGUAGGAAAUAUAUGAAGAAUCAAAUAAUCACACAAGUUCAGAGAAAACCGGGGGACUUCACCUUUGAGCAAAGCCUAUAAAAGUUGAAGACAUGUUUUUAAGUAUGAGAACUUUUGUGAUUAAGAAUGGAAAACAUGUUAGUUUUUGGGAGGAUAGGCGGAUUGAUAAUGAUUCUUUUACAGAGCAGUAUCUGUCUCUAUAUAACAUUGUUUGCAAGAAAAAUGCAUCAAUAGCAACUGCGUUUAAUUAAUUCUGUCUCAUUAAAUGUAUGUUUUGAAGAGCUUUCUUGAGCCAAAAUAUCUUUUUUAUGAAAUUAUAUAUAAUGUAUGUACUCCAUAGUAUAAGCUAUUCUACUCCACUCUUCCAAGGCCCAUCCUACCUCCUACCCUCCUUGUUUAAAGGCUGGUGAAAGGGUUAAUCCCGUGGGUCAACCUCUUUAUGGGCUUCCCUUCAUGUCUAUAUAAGCUCACCUCUCGUUUCACAGGAAUUGUGCAGUAACACGACGACAAAAAUACAGUAACACAACGACUAAUUUACAGUAACAUCGUCAAAACAUACUCAUGAGGGAUCUACUUUUUUAGAAUAAUUUUUUUCAAACACUAUGGUACACAAGUUCUUAAAAAAUAAUAUAUGAGGUGAGAGAUAAAGUUGUUUAAAAGUUUAAAAUCUUAAGAAAUAUCUAUAUGUGCAAUAAUGAUGCGUCUCCUAUACAGUAAUAACGUUAUGUCUAUAAAAUAUAUGUAUCGUUACUGCACAAUUGCAGUAACAUCGCGAUAUAUGUGCAGUAACAUUGCGAUAUAUGUGCAGUAACAUGUGUGUUGCACUAUUGCAGUAACGUCAUGAUAAAAAUACAGUAACAUCAUGAUAGAAGUACAGUAAUAUCAUAACUUUAUAUGACUUUAUAUUGUUGUUACAGUACAACUAAUGCAUGUGCGAGAGCUCAAAAUAUUGUAUUCUCAAUCUUUAGAGAGCAAUAUCUCAUGCGUUUUAUAUUAUUUUUCAAAAUCGUUUUCACCACGUUGGUUAAAAAAAUAUGAUUUAAAAAACUAGAUCUGUCAUGACUAUAUUUUGACGCUGUUACUGUAUUUUAUAAAAAUUUUUAAUAUAAAAAAUCUAGUGAGCCAUAUAAUCGAAAUUUAGAGGUGAUUUGAUAUGUUUUUGGACCUUGACUCAUGGAGCAACCUAUGAGUUGCACACCGUAGCGCUUAUAUAUAUAUAUAUAUAUAAAGAAACAAUAGAAACCAGGGAUAUUACAUAGGUGCAGUUUCCAAAGAUUAUAUGAAGUAUAUACAAAGCUUAGAGAAUGUCCAAGAACGAAUAAAAUAGGGGCCAUGGAUAUCCAGCCUAGAGGCACGCGAGUGAUGUACCCCUCUGUAUUUUAGAUGACAUCGCUAAAUUUUUGUUACAGGUUUUAUUGUUUAUAUUAUUUAAAAAAUUUAUAUAAUUAUGACUUUUUUGUUGCGGUUGAAUUUAUAACUAAAUAUAUUUUAAGUAUAGCAAUUAAAGGUAGGAUGCUAAUGAAAUUCUAACGAGGAUGUUAUUGUUGAACGAAGUCGUUUGUAUGAUGAUGUUUCAUAGGACUCCGGCCCACUUGUCGACGAAAUUUCUUACAAUUAGAUAUUUGUCAAUGGUAUUUCUUAACUUUUUAAGUUUUUUUUACAAUUUACGUGUAAUUUAGCGUGCAACUUGCAUCCUUAUGCUAAAAGACCAUGAGUUAGUUUGGCUUGGAGCCUAAAUAGGCGUUCUCAAAUUUUUGUACAUGCGUAUAUUUUGAGAUGACCAAAAUUGGGGAAGAUCAAAUCAUGUUUUGUUAGUAGUCAAAAUUGACCAUCCCGACUAUGUGGCUGUAUGUAUGUAUGUAUGUAUGUAAGUAACAUACAUACAUACAUACAUCGCGAUAUAUAUAUAUAUAUUAGAUUCUGCUGCUAAUUGUAGCUAAUUCCUACACGUCUAGGGUGUAGAGAGACUUCCAUACCUGUUUCUACACUCAGCCAAUUAGCAUAAGUAUAAUCAGAAAGAUGAGGGUGUAAAGUAGUUGAGAUUUAGUAACUGGGCAGUAUAACCCAACAUGCUCAAUAUAAUGUUACGUUUCGCCAUUUUCUGAAAGUCACGGAAGUCGCUAACAGCGACCAUUCUAUUAUGACUUAGCACCGACAUGGCUUUAGGCAACUUCCGAGAAGAUAUGGAUGAGAAUUUUUCAACCAUAGCCUGGAAAAAUGCGCAGACUAUCAGUUCUUGUUAUUUAUAGUCCAAUAUAAGAUCAUUAAUAAUAUCUUGAUUUAUACAAUCCCAUCAAGUAACCAUACAAGAAAAAUAAAACAAAACAUAAUAUAUAAUACAGUCUUAUGUAAAACCAAUCACCACACUUGCCCAAAGUAAAGGGAGAAUAUGUGCAAAUUAGCAUGUAACUUCUAAAAAGGGACAACAUGCAAGCUACCUUCUUGGCUACUUCAGUUGAAUUGGGCACAACUACCGAGGAUGCUCCGGUCUUUAUAGUGUAUAUUGGCCCAUAAGUUUUAGACCAUUUUGCAAAUGUCGGGGCUUCUUUUCUUUCAAUUGAUGCAGAUUUUCGAUAAUGGGUAAACCAGGGAUAGUUGCAUUACAAAAAUAUUAAUAAUAUGAGUACUAAUUAAACCCCUUUAUAGUGGUGUAAAGUUUGAAAUGAGUUUUGUUGUUAAGUCGUCUCUAAAUAUUUUAAUUAACAUUCACUGAUUCUCGCUAUCUUUCCUUUCCCUGUGUCAUUUUUUAUUAGGAAUAUCAUGCUACUUGUGCACAUAGUAGUCAGUAGACGAUGACAUAUGGAGUAAAGUAAACAUACUAAGAUGAGCUAAGAGGAUUAAAUGGAUGCAUACACUAUUUUGCACUCUCAACCCACGGAAGUACUAUUGGGCUAGCCAAAUAACUAUAUAUCGAUAGUAUUUAUGUAGAUGAGCAAUUUUACGGUACUUAAGAAGAUACCAGGAGGUACCAUUUUUCUAUGUAAAAUUUUGAUACCUCUUGAUACUUUAUUGUAAAUUUGCUCAUUCUGAAAGGAUCUAGAAUAACUAUCAAAUGGAAGAAAGUAGAUGGAUGUGGACACUAGAGUAAAGGAUGAU